Molecule: long non-coding RNA, 1346 nt
Organism: Oncorhynchus tshawytscha (Chinook salmon)
Lineage: Eukaryota; Metazoa; Chordata; Actinopteri; Salmoniformes; Salmonidae
Source: Ensembl
CCUACUGAUGCGCUUUCCCCUCCCAACCAGCGUCGCCUCUGCGUGCGGUGACCACACCUGCAACCGGGAAAGUCCGCUAGACCUGCGCACGGUUCAGUGAGCGCGAGAGGCACACACAAUCACCAUCGGAGGCUCCACAUCGGAGAAAGGUAGUCAGUCUAGUCAGAAUUAUGUUGAUUAUUGAGACUAUACUGUUUCAAACCGUCCUUUCACGCACCAAACGCGCGGCAUAUGGUUUGGAUUUGGAAAUACCUCCCGGCGCAGGAACGGAGAUUUGUGGAGUCGUUCCGUUUCGAGGAUGAAUAGCGACUGGGAAUGUGCCAGCACCACGCACAGAGAGUGCAGGAGAGAGGGUGAGUGUGAGAGAGAGAGGCAGAAGGAGCGAGAGUGUGGAACCCAGCCCCGUGAGGAUCAGGUUCUAUCUGGAACCCAGCCCCGUGAGGAUCAGGUUCUAUCUGGAACCCAGCCCCGUGAGGAUCAGGUUCUAUCUGGAACCCAGCCCCGUGAGGAUCAGGUUCUAUCUGGAACCCAGCCCCGUGAGGAUCAGGUUCUAUCUGGAACCCAGCCCUGUGAGGAUCAGGUUCUAUCUGGAAUCCAGGCUCCUGUUUCUCACAGAGCAGGGAUGUUUGAAUAUGUUGAAGGCCGCCUCCGAACCCAUACAAUAAAAAAAAUAAUGGCGAACAACAAAAGUUUGUGACUGAUGCAGGCAAGCUACUGUAGAGCCAGGUGGCUGAGGUCUCGGCAGGGAGUCAGUGCAAGCUGAGAGGGGUAGUAACAUCACCGUCAACAUCACUAGGUCCUGCUGAAGAGAGAUUGAAAACAACAUCAGCCCUGCCUAGCCUCAUCCCCAGACGCCUGCCUGCCUCCAGCUCCUAGCAGCUCCAGGCUCCCGGCCCCCAUGGAGCUUGGCACUGAUGCCCAGCGCAAAAACAGAUGGUGCCAAUCCUGACCCCUCUCGUCACCGAUGAACAGGAAGAGGAGGAGGCACUGUUGCCACGGCAACUCCUGGACACACAUCCUCUCCAAGGGCCUCAGGUAAACACAUUCACACAACAGGACCAAGGCGAGGACCCCGUUUGUGUCCUAGUAAGCUAACUCAUUGCCUGUGAGACUUCAACACGACCAGACUUUUUUCUGUAGGCGUCCAAUUCCAUGCCUGCUUGGACUGUAUGAGAAUGUGCUGAUGGACCAGGACCAGUGCAGGAACGUGACAUCAGUUUACUGAAAGCCAAUGAAACUCCAUCCUGUCGGGGACUGCUCCUCUUUCCCUGCUGGCUGGCCUGGGCUCUCAGGCCUGGAUGAAUUAUUAAAGGGACCCCUCAGUACUGCUGGUAGCUCUAAAGCCC